RNAcentral lists this ribosomal RNA (591 nucleotides) under uncultured bacterium. RNAcentral's name for it is "bacterial SSU rRNA". It matches the Rfam family "Bacterial small subunit ribosomal RNA", at positions 75 to 682 of the family's 1533-position model. The record is from RNAcentral.
UCCCUUCGGGGGCGGAUCAGUGGCGAACGGGUGAGUAACACGUGGGCAAUCUGCCCCUCACUGUGGGAUAACUCCGGGAAACCGGGGCUAAUACCGCAUAUGAAGCCUGGCGGCAUCGCCGGGUUUGGAAAGUUUUUCGGUGAGGGAUGAGCCCGCGGCCUAUCAGCUUGUUGGUGAGGUAAUGGCUCACCAAGGCGACGACGGGUAGCCGGCCUGAGAGGGCGACCGGCCACACUGGGACUGAGACACGGCCCAGACUCCUACGGGAGGCAGCAGUGGGGAAUAUUGGGCAAUGGGCGAAAGCCUGACCCAGCGACGCCGCGUGCGGGAUGAAGGCCUUCGGGUUGUAAACCGCUUUCAGCAGGGAAGAAGCGAAAGUGACGGUACCUGCAGAAGAAGCACCGGCUAACUACGUGCCAGCAGCCGCGGUAAUACGUAGGGCGCGAGCGUUAAUCGGAAUUACUGGGCGUAAAGCGUGCGCAGGCGGAUUGUUAAGCAAGACGUGAAAUCCCCGGGCUUAACCUGNGAAUGGCGUUUUGAACUGGCAGUCUAGAGUGCGUCANAGGGGGGUGGAAUUCCACGUGUAGCAGU